CCUACGGGAGGCAGCAGUGAGGAAUAUUGGACAAUGGGCGCAAGCCUGAUCCAGCCAUGCCGCGUGCAGGAUGACGGUCCUAUGGAUUGUAAACUGCUUUUAUACGAGAAGAAACACUACUUCGUGAAGUAGCUUGACGGUAUCGUAAGAAUAAGGAUCGGCUAACUCCGUGCCAGCAGCCGCGGUAAUACGGAGGAUCCAAGCGUUAUCCGGAAUCAUUGGGUUUAAAGGGUCCGUAGGCGGUUUAAUAAGUCAGUGGUGAAAGCCCAUCGCUCAACGGUGGAACGGCCAUUGAUACUGUUAGACUUGAAUUAUUAGGAAGUAACUAGAAUAUGUAGUGUAGCGGUGAAAUGCUUAGAGAUUACAUGGAAUACCAAUUGCGAAGGCAGGUUACUACUAAUAUAUUGACGCUGAUGGACGAAAGCGUGGGUAGCGAACAGGAUUAGAUACCCUGGUAGUCCACGCCGUAAACGAUGGAUACUAGCUGUUGGAAGCAAUUUCAGUUGGNUAGACGAAGUAGAUAAGUAUCCCACCCGUACGGGGUAGGUACGGUUACGUCGAAGAAGUAGUAAACGUUAAACGGUAAAGUUAGUACGGACGUGAGACGUAGACCGACGGACGACGACGAGGGAGGUUAGG
This 639-nucleotide ribosomal RNA is filed under the name uncultured bacterium. Its description in RNAcentral is "bacterial SSU rRNA". The stretch from base 1 to 534 matches the Rfam family "Bacterial small subunit ribosomal RNA", at positions 338 to 873 of the family's 1533-position model. The record is from RNAcentral.